UUAAGCUAAUAAGAGCGCAGGGUGGAUGCCUUGGCACUAAGAGCCGAAGAAAGACGUGAUAAGCUGCGAAAAGCUGCGGGGAGGAGCAAAUGUCCAUUGAUCCGCAGAUGUCUGAAUGGGGAAACCCGUCUGGAAGAACUCCAGUCACUGCAUGGUGAAUACAUAGGCAUGCAGGGGGAACCCGGUGAACUGAAACAUCUAAGUAGCCGGAGGAAAAGAAAGAAAAAUCGAUUUCCAAAGUAGCGGCGAGCGAAAUGGAAGGAGCCCAAACCGGGAUGCGUGCAUUCCGGGGUUAUGGACCGCAAUAAGUGACCCGUAAGAUAGAAGAAUGGCAUUGGGAAAGCCAGCCACAGAGGGUGAAAGCCCCGUAUUCGAAAUCAGAAGGGAGCGAGCGGAAUCCGAAGUACUACGAGACACGUGGAACCUUGUAGGAAAUCGGGGGGACCACCCCCCAAGGCUAAAUACUCCUUAGUGACCGAUAGCGCAUAGUACUGUGAAGGAACGGUGAAAAGAACCCCGGGAGGGGAGUGAAAGAGAACCUGAAACCCUGUGUUUACAAGCUGUGGAAGAGCUUUACAUGCUCAACCGCGUACUUUUUGUAGAACGGUCCGGCGAGUUACUCUUACUGGCAAGGUUAAGCACCAAAGGUGUGGAGCCGAAGGGAAACCAAGUCUUAACAGGGCGAGUUAGUCAGUGUGAGUAGACCCGAAACCGGGUGACCUACCCAUGUCCAGGAUGAAGUUGCCGUAAAAGGCAAUGGAGGUCCGAACACACAUCCGUUGAAAAGGGUGGUGAUGAGGUGUGGGUAGCGGAGAAAUUCCAAUCGAACCCGGAGAUAGCUGGUUCUCCUCGAAAUAGCUUUAGGGCUAGCCUCAAUUUAGUCUUGCGGAGGUAGAGCACUGAAUAUCCUAGGGGGCGUCAAAGCUUACCGAAGAUUAUCAAACUCCGAAUGCCGUAAAGAUGAUGAUUGGGAGUCAGACUGCACGAGAUAAGUUGGGUAGUCAAAAGGGAAACAGCCCAGACCUCCAGCUAAGGUCCCAAAGUGAGUGUUAAGUGGAAAAGGAUGUGGGAUUUCGAAGACAACUAGGAUGUUGGCUCAGAAGCAGCCAUUCAUUCAAAGAGUGCGUAAUAGCUCACUAGUCGAGAGGUCCUGCGCCGAAAAUGUCCGGGGCUAAACACUACACCGAAGCUGAGGAAUGACAAUGUCAUUGGUAGAGGAGCAUUCUUAACUGCGACGAAGCUGUACCGAAAGGAGCAGUGGAGUGUUAAGAAGAGAGAAUGCCGGAAUGAGUAGCGAGAGUGAGGUGAGAAUCCUCACGGCCGAAUAUCUAAGGUUUCCAGGGUAAAGCUGAUCUGCCCUGGGUAAGUCGGGACCUAAGGCGAGGUCGAAAGACGUAGUCGAUGGACAACAGGUUGAAAUUCCUGUACUGCAAUGUAUCAGAAAUGUGGGGACACAGACAGAGAGCCGGAGCCGGGAAUGGAGAAACCGGUGCAAGCGAGGUAGGAGAACAGCAGGCAAAUCCGCUGUUCAAUUUGAAGACGUGACGCGGAGCGAAAUUAAAGUAGCGAAGCCGGUGAGCUGGCUGUCAGGAAAAGCCGCUAUUGUGUACAUUGUACCCGUACCGUAAACCGACACAGGUGGAUGAGGAGAGAAUCCUAAGGCCGACGGAAGAAGCAUUGUUAAGGAACUCGGCAAAAUGGCCCCGUAACUUCGGGAUAAGGGGUGCCUACGAAGGUAGGCCGCAGAGAAUUGGCCCAAGCAACUGUUUAGCAAAAACACAGGUCUAUGCGAAACCGUAAGGUGAUGUAUAUGGGCUGACGCCUGCCCGGUGCUGGAAGGUUAAGGGGAGAGGUUAGACAUAAGUCGAAGCUUUGAAUUUAAGCCCCAGUAAACGGCGGCCGUAACUAUAACGGUCCUAAGGUAGCGAAAUUCCUUGUCGGGUAAGUUCCGACCCGCACGAAAGGCGUAAUGAUUUGAG
Molecule: ribosomal RNA, 1979 nt
Filed under: human gut metagenome
Description: bacterial LSU rRNA
Rfam family: Bacterial large subunit ribosomal RNA
Source: RNAcentral